CUGUGAACUGCGAAUGGCUCAUUAAAUCAGUUAUAGUUCUAUUCUCGAUGGUAUCUUACUACAUGGAUAACUGUGGUAAUUCUAGAGCUAAUACAUGCGUUAAAAACCCGACUUUUGAAGGGUUGUAUUUAUUAGAUACAAAACCAAUUCAUGGAAACAUGAGAUUGGUGAGUCAUAAUAACUUUUUCGAAUCGCAUGGUCUUGAACCGGCGAUGCAUCAUUCAAAUAUCUGCCCUAUCAACUUUGGAUGGGAGGAUAGAGGCCUACCAUGGUUUUAACGGGUAACGGGGAAUAAGGGUUCGAUUCCGGAGAGGGAGCCUGAGAAACGGCUACCACAUCCAAGGAAGGGAGCAGGCGCGCAACUUACCCAAUCCCGACACGGGGAGGUAGUGACAAUAAAUAACAAUACAGGGCUCUUUUGGGUCUUGGAAUUGGAAUGAGUACAAUUUAAAUACCUUAACG
RNAcentral lists this ribosomal RNA (462 nucleotides) under Wallemia hederae. RNAcentral's name for it is "SSU rRNA". It matches the Rfam family "Eukaryotic small subunit ribosomal RNA", at positions 79 to 539 of the family's 1831-position model. The record is from RNAcentral. Lineage: Eukaryota; Fungi; Basidiomycota; Wallemiomycetes; Wallemiales; Wallemiaceae.